AUACGGAGGAUCCGAGCGUUAUCCGGAUUUAUUGGGUUUAAAGGGUGCGCAGGCGGCCAUUUAAGUCAGCGGUUAAAUCGUGGGGCUCAACCCCAUUCUGCCGUUGAUACUGGGUGGCUUGAUUGCGGUCGAGGUUGGCGGAAUUCGUUGUGUAGCGGGGAAAUGCAUAGAUAUGACGAAGAAAACCGAUUGCGUAGGCAGCUGGCCAGACCGCAAAUGACGCUCAUGCACGAAAGUGCGGGGAUCGAACAGGAUUAGAUACCCUGGUAGUCCGCACAGUAAACGAUGAAUACUUGUUUUCGGCGAUAUAAUGUCGGAGGCAAAGCGAAAGCGAUAAGUAUUCCACCUGGGGAGUACGCCGGCAACGGUGAAACUCAAAGGAAUUGACGGGG
This 392-nucleotide ribosomal RNA is filed under the name uncultured bacterium. RNAcentral's name for it is "partial 16S ribosomal RNA". It matches the Rfam family "Bacterial small subunit ribosomal RNA", at positions 523 to 918 of the family's 1533-position model. The record is from RNAcentral.